Molecule: ribosomal RNA, 678 nt
Filed under: uncultured Geobacteraceae bacterium
Lineage: Bacteria; Pseudomonadati; Thermodesulfobacteriota; Desulfuromonadia; Geobacterales; Geobacteraceae
Description: partial 16S ribosomal RNA
Rfam family: Bacterial small subunit ribosomal RNA
Source: RNAcentral
UUUGGGAUAWYUSUUAAAAAGGGGUGCGAGAAAAGGGGGUCCUCAGAAUAUCCUUCYGCCRCYAGAMUACUCCGCGCAUCAUUAGKUUGUURGUAGGKUAAUGGCCUAKCAACGKGACUAUGSGUAGCUMSUCUGAGAGGAUGAUCASCCACACUGGAKCUGAGACRCGSUCCAGUCUCYUACGRGAGGCAGCAGUGGGGAUUUUYGCGCAAUGGGCGAAAGCCUGACGCAGCAACGCCGCGUGAGUGAUGAAGGCCUUCGGGUCGUAAAGCUCUGUCAGUGGGGAAGAACCGCCGGGUGGUUAAUACCUGCCUGGUCUGACGGUACCCACAAAGGAAGCACCGGCUAACUCCGUGCCAGCAGCCGCGGUAAUACGGAGGGYGUAAGCGUUGUUCGGAAUUAUUGGGCGUAAAGCGCGYGUAGGCGGUUUGUUAAGUCUGGUGUGAAAGCCCUGGGCUCAACCUGGGAAGUGCAUUGGAUACUGGCAAACUUGAGUACGGGAGAGGAUAGUGGAAUUUCGAGYGUAGGGGUGAAAUCCGUAGAUAUUSGAAGGAACACCGGUGGCGAAGGSGGCUAUCUGGACCGAUKCYGACGYUGAGACGCGAAAGCGUGGGGAGCAAACAGGAUUAGAUACCCYGGUAGUCCACGCCGUAAACGAUGGGUACUAGGUGUUGCGGG